Molecule: ribosomal RNA, 447 nt
Filed under: uncultured bacterium
Lineage: Bacteria
Description: bacterial SSU rRNA
Rfam family: Bacterial small subunit ribosomal RNA
Source: RNAcentral
UGGGGAAUAUUGGACAAUGGGCGAAAGCCUGAUCCAGCCAUGCCGCGUGAGUGACGAAGGCCUUAGGGUUGUAAAGCUCUUUUGGCGGGGAAGAUAAUGACGGUACCCGCAGAAUAAGCUCCGGCUAACUUCGUGCCAGCAGCCGCGGUAAUACGAAGGGAGCUAGCGUUGUUCGGAAUCACUGGGCGUAAAGCGCACGUAGGCGGAUUGUUUAGUCAGGGGUGAAAUCCCGGGGCUCAACCUCGGAACUGCCUUUGAUACUGGCAAUCUCGAGUCCGAUAGAGGUGGGUGGAAUUCCUAGUGUAGAGGUGAAAUUCGUAGAUAUUAGGAAGAACACCGGUGGCGAAGGCGGCCCACUGGAUCGGUACUGACGCUGAGGUGCGAAAGCGUGGGGAGCAAACAGGAUUAGAUACCCCAGUAGUCCCUGAGCGGGCUGGCAAGGCGCAU